CAUCAGAUGACUGAAGAGCAAGUAAUGGUCUCUUAAACCAAGAUAUAGUAAUAUAGUAGUUACUUCUGAUGA
This 72-nucleotide transfer RNA is filed under the name Odontomantis sp. JZ-2017. RNAcentral's name for it is "tRNA-Lys". Lineage: Eukaryota; Metazoa; Arthropoda; Insecta; Mantodea; Hymenopodidae. The record is from RNAcentral.